CUUGUCAACUGGCACAUGCAUGCAAGAAAUGGUGUCUAAAAAUGUAUGUGUGGGAGGUACGCAACAAAAUAACUUGAAAAGGGACUAAAAAUUUACCACGAGUCACAUGGAAACGUCCACAUGGAACAUUUUACUUU
Long non-coding RNA from Thalassophryne amazonica, 137 nucleotides. RefSeq lists it as uncharacterized. NCBI's taxonomy places the organism in Eukaryota, Metazoa, Chordata, Actinopteri, Batrachoidiformes, Batrachoididae. The record is from RefSeq and is a predicted model, not a curated record. The transcript is spliced from 3 exons.